Long non-coding RNA from Pogoniulus pusillus (Red-fronted tinkerbird), 585 nucleotides. RefSeq lists it as uncharacterized. NCBI's taxonomy places the organism in Eukaryota, Metazoa, Chordata, Aves, Piciformes, Lybiidae. The record is from RefSeq and is a predicted model, not a curated record. The transcript has 4 exons.
AUUUGGCAGUGGCUCAUGAGGAAACUCAAAGUUUCUGUUAAUUCGGAUGGGGUUUGUUUACUUUAUUGUAGACUUCAACUGAGACCAGAGAGGGGACAUGGGAAAGAACAGGUGCAUCCAUUAUGUAUCCCAGUUCUCUUGGCUGGCACUGCAAUCCUUUCAUCCCUGGAUGCUAUGCGCUCUGUAGGCUCAGUGGAUGACCACACAGAGGGAGCAGCUCUGCUGGCCACGGGGGCUGAAACAGGUGAAAAUGGUGCAGCUGCUCGGUUUUGAACCCCAGAAGAGAAGGGCUUAGCUGUUUUAUUCAAAGAUGCUGCUUUUUGAGCUUCAGAGGGCUGAAAAGAGAGACUGAAGAGCUUACUUUCUGGAAGUUCUCUGAUGUGGUGGCUUCUGUUCGUUCCUCUGUGUGAACUGUGUGUGAUUUCAUCUCCUCCUGCUCAGCUGUGAUCUGAUCCAUUCUCUGCCUCCUCUUGGCAAACAUGAGGGCCCCUUUACCUGUGCUCUCUGGAAGCGUCUGCAUCUCCUCUCCACUUUUUGUCUUCUUUUCAACCUCAGGUAAACCACUAUCCCAGUCAAAAGUCACAA